RNAcentral lists this ribosomal RNA (119 nucleotides) under Salmo salar (Atlantic salmon). Lineage: Eukaryota; Metazoa; Chordata; Actinopteri; Salmoniformes; Salmonidae. The record is from RNAcentral.
GCUUACGGCCAUACCAGCCUGGGUACGCCCGAUCUCGUCUGAUCUCAGAAGCUAAGCAUGGUCGGGCCUGGUUAGUACUUGGAUUGGAGACCGCCUGGGAAUACCAGGUGCUGUAAGCA